UAGAACCAUGCAAGUUAAUGCAAGGCAUCUAGAGAAACUAUGCAGAACAACAAGCUGCUAUAGUUUUAAUUACUAUCCUGCACCAAGUGCUAGCUUGUCAUGUGUCUAAUCAUGCAACAGCUACACAACAAAGUAUACACGUUUCUUGGACGUGCCAUGUAGAUACUUUAAACUAAAUGAUCGGGUACAAGCAUGCAAUAUUUUACCAGCUUAAUCACUUUCAUCUACCCCACAAUGUUUCCACAUGAACUAUAGUUGAAGAUAGUUAAAGACUAGCACAUAUUGAAUUCCAAACCUCGUUGUGUGGUUUUGGUAGCAAGGUGACCACUACUACACCAAGAA
This 342-nucleotide long non-coding RNA is filed under the name Elaeis guineensis (African oil palm). RNAcentral's name for it is "long non-coding RNA (EGUI_LNC069419)". Lineage: Eukaryota; Viridiplantae; Streptophyta; Magnoliopsida; Arecales; Arecaceae. The record is from RNAcentral.